Molecule: long non-coding RNA, 292 nt
Filed under: Phoenix dactylifera (date palm)
Lineage: Eukaryota; Viridiplantae; Streptophyta; Magnoliopsida; Arecales; Arecaceae
Description: long non-coding RNA (PDAC_LNC017099)
Source: RNAcentral
UUGAAGGGAGAAAGUGAGGGAACGCUGAACUGAAUAUGGGUCAUGUGCCAGUUUCUGCAAUGGAAUUGGAUUUUGGAAGAAGGUCUGGGAUUUUCUUUGCCCUCCUGAGAGGGGAGCUGGGAGACACCAAGUUCCAUCCAAUCAGUCAGAUAAAAAAGUGUGAUACGAAAUUUGGCUUGUAGACGGACUUACUUAGUUCGUCACGGGUCAUCCGUUCUGACUGGAGGUCAAUUGCAAGUCUUUCAAGUCAUGGGUCACCCAGCACCUCAUAGUUAUGAUAUGGCCAAAUUAG